UGGCAGUCACCUUAUCACCCCCGCAUACUACAUCUGAAACCAGGAAGACGUAGUUAACUCUUCUCACAGUCAAGAUUGGACAGUGAUCCUUCCUCAGAAUUUUGACAGAGCCCUGCUGCAGCCUUCCCAAUACAGACUUCGACUGAACUUAUUUUGCACCUGGGGUGAUUGCCCCAGCCCUGCCACCAGCAGGCUCAAUCUAUUGCUUCUCAACAGUACGAAGUUGGAUGAUGUUUUUCGACCUAACAUGAGAACAUGG
Homo sapiens (human) is the source of this 259-nucleotide long non-coding RNA. RefSeq lists it as uncharacterized. The record is from RefSeq and is a predicted model, not a curated record. NCBI's taxonomy places the organism in Eukaryota, Metazoa, Chordata, Mammalia, Primates, Hominidae. The transcript has 3 exons.